Molecule: ribosomal RNA, 497 nt
Filed under: uncultured bacterium
Lineage: Bacteria
Description: partial 16S ribosomal RNA
Rfam family: Bacterial small subunit ribosomal RNA
Source: RNAcentral
GAUGAACGCUGGCGGCGUGCCUAAUACAUGCAAGUCGAGCGAACAGACGAGGAGCUUGCUCCUCUGACGUUAGCGGCGGACGGGUGAGUAACACGUGGAUAACCUACCUAUAAGACUGGGAUAAAUUCGGGAAACCGGAGCUAAUACCGGAUAAUAUAGUGAACCGCAUGGUUCAAUAGUGAAAGACGGUUUUGCUGUCACUUAUAGAUGGAUCCGCGCCGCAUUAGCUAGUUGGUAAGGUAACGGCUUACCAAGGCAACGAUGCGUAGCCGACCUGAGAGGGUGAUCGGCCACACUGGAACUGAGACACGGUCCAGACUCCUACGGGAGGCAGCAGUAGGGAAUCUUCCGCAAAGGGCGAAAGCCUGACGGAGCAACGCCGCGUGAGUGAUGAAGGUCUUCGGAUCGUAAAACUCUGUUAUUAGGGAAGAACAAAUGUGUAAGUAACUAUGCACGUCUUGACGGUACCUAAUCAGAAAGCCACGGCUAACUACGUG